Molecule: long non-coding RNA, 506 nt
Organism: Arachis duranensis
Lineage: Eukaryota; Viridiplantae; Streptophyta; Magnoliopsida; Fabales; Fabaceae
Exons: 4
Source: RefSeq, a predicted model, not a curated record
UGCCGGAAAAGGGGACUGCAUCUCCGUGAUUCCGGCCGCCGGGAGAGGUUCUGUGACCUCUGGAAGCACCGCCGGAGUUCCGGACUCAGCUUCUGCCACUCGAGACCCUGCUGCCGUCGCCGGAAAGGUUUGCCGUUGGCGCGAUCUGAAAUUAUCGUCGCUGUCGCUUGAGGUGGCUGCCGCGUUGCCGCCGAACCGGUUCAGAGACCGCCGCUGUUUUGGUUCAGUCGCUCCUUCUUCGGUUCGAGUUGUUGAGACUGUUGCGAAAGUGGCUUGGAGCUGAGGUUUUGGUUGCCGUCAGUUCGAUUUGAGGCGGAAAGGACUUGAUGAGUCAUUUGGGUUAUGGAAUUGCGUUUUGAGGUAGGGGCGCUUUCCAAAAACUAUUUUUUAUGUAUUGAAAUUAUUACAUAUGGAUACUGAUGUGAGAUAUUGUGUAUUUGGUGAUUGUAUCUGCCUUAUGUAUUACUUGAUUGACUCGAAUGAUUAUGGAUGUUGGUUUGGCUGAA